UUCCAGAGCCACUGCUGAGUAGUAGA
This 26-nucleotide small nuclear RNA is filed under the name Arabidopsis thaliana (thale cress). Its description in RNAcentral is "snRNA_02531". The record is from RNAcentral. Lineage: Eukaryota; Viridiplantae; Streptophyta; Magnoliopsida; Brassicales; Brassicaceae.